UACGUUGGGACCGAGCGUUGUCCGGAUUCAUUGGGCGUAAAGAGCUCGUAGGCGGCUGUUCAAGUCGAACGUGAAAACUCGGAGCUCAACUCCGAGCCUGCGUUCGAGACUGGAUGGCUAGAGUCUGGUAGGGGGAUCUGGAAUUCCUGGUGUAGCGGUGGAAUGCGCAGAUAUCAGGAGGAACACCGGUGGCGAAGGCGGGAUCCUGGAUUGGUAUUGACGCUGAUGAGCGAAAGCCAGGGGAGCAAACGGG
This 253-nucleotide ribosomal RNA is filed under the name uncultured bacterium. RNAcentral's name for it is "partial 16S ribosomal RNA". It matches the Rfam family "Bacterial small subunit ribosomal RNA", at positions 524 to 776 of the family's 1533-position model. The record is from RNAcentral.